AUUGAACGCUGGCGGCAGGCCUAACACAUGCAAGUCGAGCGGAUGGAGGGAGCUUGCUCCUGGAUUCAGCGGCGGACGGGUGAGUAAUGCCUAGGAAUCUGCCUGGUAGUGGGGGAUAACGUCCGGAAACGGGCGCUAAUACCGCAUACGUCCUGAGGGAGAAAGUGGGGGAUCUUCGGACCUCACGCUAUCAGAUGAGCCUAGGUCGGAUUAGCUAGUUGGUGGGGUAAAGGCCUACCAAGGCGACGAUCCGUAACUGGUCUGAGAGGAUGAUCAGUCACACUGGAACUGAGACACGGUCCAGACUCCUACGGGAGGCAGCAGUGGGGAAUAUUGGACAAUGGGCGAAAGCCUGAUCCAGACAUGCCGAGUGUGUGAAGAAGGUCUUCGGAUUGUAAAGCACUUUAAGUUGGGAGGAAGGGCAGUAAGUUAAUACCUUGCUGUUUUGACGUUACCAACCGAAUAAGCACCGGCUAACUUCGUG
RNAcentral lists this ribosomal RNA (484 nucleotides) under uncultured bacterium. Its description in RNAcentral is "partial 16S ribosomal RNA". It matches the Rfam family "Bacterial small subunit ribosomal RNA", at positions 30 to 507 of the family's 1533-position model. The record is from RNAcentral.